GAUGCUGUAGCUCAGGGACAGAGCAUUUGCUUUGCAUGCAGAAGGUUCUGGGUUCGAUCCCCACUGCUAGUCA
This 73-nucleotide transfer RNA is filed under the name Podarcis lilfordi (Lilford's wall lizard). Its description in RNAcentral is "tRNA.Ala". The stretch from base 4 to 67 matches the Rfam family "tRNA". Rfam says of the family: Transfer RNA (tRNA) molecules are approximately 80 nucleotides in length. Their secondary structure includes four short double-helical elements and three loops (D, anti-codon, and T loops). Lineage: Eukaryota; Metazoa; Chordata; Lepidosauria; Squamata; Lacertidae. The record is from RNAcentral.